This 310-nucleotide ribosomal RNA is filed under the name uncultured bacterium. RNAcentral describes it as "bacterial SSU rRNA". It matches the Rfam family "Bacterial small subunit ribosomal RNA", at positions 28 to 334 of the family's 1533-position model. The record is from RNAcentral.
GGUGAACGCUAGCUACAGGCUUAACACAUGCAAGUCGAGGGGCAUCAGGAUGUAGCAAUACAUUGCUGGCGACCGGCGCACGGGUGAGUAACACGUAUCCAACCUGCCUUUUACUCGGGGAUAGGCUUUCGAAAGAAAGAUUAAUACCCGAUGGUAUAAUAUUUCCGCAUGGGAUUAUUAUUAAAGAAUUUCGGUAAAAGAUGGGGAUGCGUUCCAUUAGGCAGUUGGCGGGGUAACGGCCCACCAAACCUUCGAUGGAUAGGGGUUCUGAGAGGAAGGUCCCCCACAUUGGAACUGAGACACGGUCCAA